GAUUUAGACCAUUUAUUUUUAUUUGGUUGUACAAAGUGUUAAAAGAAACACAUCUCAAAUAAUCAAGAGAGUGGUGACUAAUUAGGGGAAUUAUUUAUGUUAACACAAUAGCAGCAUAGAUACUAUAGAUGAGGGGAAACCUAUAACUACUUCACAGAUAUGAGAUUACAAACUCACAAAUAGAAUAAUAAAUAACUUUUUUCUUGUUCAAAAAUAUCCUAAUUUCUUUCUCUUAGGAGGUAAUGUGUAAACUUGAUACACAUAUUAUCUAUUGAAUUACAGACUAUUGAAAUCCAACAUUUCUACCCUUGAUAGUGAGAAAAAAUGAAUUCCAUAUCUGCUAGUUCAUUCUGGAAUAUGUCCCACUAUAGAAAAUGGUAUCCAUGUACUUUCUUCCCAAGUAAGAGAAAUUUAAGAAAUCUUAAAGACAAUGAUCCUAAAUUUUACAAUCUUUCUGACCUUUCUACUUCCAGACUAAUCUUUUUUAAAAAUACAACAUUGAUUUUCCAGAAAAGCAUUCUGUGGGUAGUUAGCACUAAAAUAUCUAUUAGUGGAAAAGCCUUAUCUUAUAUAUUUCAAGUUUUUUUGAUACUGAAUUUUGAGACUCUCUGGCUUUGUUUUUCACAUUGUUGAGUAUUCGAGAUAAGAUUAUUCACCUUUUGUCUCCCAUUCUUUCAUAUUUCUUUCCUCUCUUCCUAAUGCCUUCUUGAUACAAUAAAGUUUAUCAAUAUCAGUAACUACAUGCAAAAAAAAGGGAAAAUAAAGAAUCUGGGCAACUCAAGUGAGAUGUAUGUGAAAUCAAUGAGUAGACUUGUCAAUAUAAAUUUGCAUUAUAAAUGAAUUUUAAAACUUUAACCUAUUCUUAUACUGCUUGUUUUAUAUACAUUUAUCACCUUCUAGAGUAUCACAGAGAAAUAUAGGUCAGUGUAAUUUAGGUGUAGAAGCACCAAAUGGUAAUAUUAAAAUUUGUAAUUCUUCGCCACUUUCUACAGUAUUCUUAAAAUUUUAUAAGAACAACCACACUCUUAAGAUUGCAUCCUAAUUUUUGGUUUUGUAUAUUGGAAGGGAAUAUAUAAGACCAAGUACCAGGAUCUGGAAUUGUAUGAAGAAAGGAAUAGCUAAAAAUGACUUCAAUUCCCGAAGAAAAAGGAAAUGAAAGAAACAGAGAUCAAGUAAUGUGGGUGCUUUACUAUCUCUUCCUUUGGAAGAAGAUGCAAAAUACUCCCCAACUAAUCUUCAUUUUGUUCCAGAAAAUAGAGCUAUGAGUCUAGUAGAUUUCUUCAGCUGAAAAUUUACUAAAACACUCGGCUGCCUUUUCUGUUUUAGACCCAAGUAUAUAAUAAAGUAAAAUGUAGUUAGGACAAUUUAUCAAGUUUACUAAAAGCUAACAAUGAUUCUAGUUCCAUUUUACUUUUCAUGGUAAUUGAGAAAAUUCAGAAUCAUUUCACUUAUUGUAACGUAAAAAAAUAAAGUUGUCUUUAAUAGAGAUAUAAAGGACUAUAGAGUAUGUAGGACUAUACUGCAUUUGCAGAGAGUGUAUACAGUAUUUAGUCUGUUAGUCCUGUGACUGACAAAAACAAAACUAAUUACUUAAAAUUUUACUACAUACUUGUGUUUCAAUUUCCACAUGAUUACAGAACAGAGUUUAUAAGAGACUCUCAAAUUAAUUCUUCCCAUUAAAUAACAUCAAACCCCCACAAAAAUCUAUCUUAAUAUAUGUUUCUUGUGUUAUAUACUUCCUGUUGUGGUCUGUAUGUGGUUUGAAAAAGAAUUUCCAGACUCGGAGCAGGGUGAAGAGAAAGAUGAGUUUAUCGAGACAAGAAAUGCUUCUAGUGAGGUCAGGGAAAGGGUCAAGCUAUAUACCUUUCCUUAUAUGGUCAGGAGCUACAUAGUCCAGGUUGCUCGGGAAGAGCUCAAGAACUUUAUAACAAUUGCAAUGGGGCACAAAGAGCAAAAAAGUUCUGGUAAUUUUUAUCCUGGAAACAUUGUAUCCCAAGACUCUUUGAGUUUAUCAUGUUGGAGAAAUCUUGGAGUCCCACAAUUUCUCCCUUCCUUAUAUCAAGGUUUUAAGUAUUGUAAGUAACACUAUAAAAAUAGUUUUUGAGGAACAAGAAAACAUAGACCCAGAUGGAAUUACAUAGUGACUUUUUUACACAGGAUCUAAGAUCUUAACAAAAAUUUAAACGCUAAGUAUAAAAUUUAAUGUUUGUAUCUCCUAACAAAUAACAAAUAUUUCUAGUUUAUCCAAGUGAUUCUUUAUUUAUAAUAGAAAAAAUGCUACCUCAAGGCCUAGCAUGACAAACUGAAUUCCAGGGAAAUUCCAAAAUUUAAGCUAUCAAAUUGUAUAGUUAAUUUGAGACUGGAAAGUAUAAGCCAUCACCUCUCAAUAUAUGAAGACUAAAAAUUUAGGCAUUCAAACACUUAAGAAGGAAGUGACCUCCUUCUUUUAUUAUAAACAUUUAUUUACAUCCAAAGGAAUUCCAUAAUCAUACCUGCCCUUCUCCUGCCUCCAAACAGUAGUUGAAAAAUAAAAGGAAACUGCUGGAAAUGCAGCUGUAGUGAAAGCUGUGUUCAUUAGUCAGGUGGACCCAAGAGCCAAGGCUUUCAA
Molecule: long non-coding RNA, 2608 nt
Filed under: Sus scrofa (pig)
Lineage: Eukaryota; Metazoa; Chordata; Mammalia; Artiodactyla; Suidae
Description: lncRNA (ENSSSCG00030063951.1)
Source: RNAcentral